AGAUACCCUAUUAUUUUAAUUGUAAAAAUUUUAUGUUUGGAUACUAAUAGUUAUGAACUUAAAAUCUAAAGAAUUUGGCGGCAUUUCAUUCUAUUCAGAGGAACCUACCCCGUGAUUGAUACUACACGAUUGGUAAUACUUGAUUUAUUUGUUUGUAUAUCUCCGUUGUUAUGAAGAUCUUUUUAGAGUUUAUAAUCUUCUUAAUUUUAAAUUGAGAAGAAUUUCAGGUCAAGGUGCAGCUAUAAUUAAGAGGAGUUGGGUUACAAUAAUUUAUUAUUUUACGGUUUUAUUGAUGUAAAUUUGUAAUUAAGUUGGAUUUGAUAGUAAUUUGAUU
This 334-nucleotide ribosomal RNA is filed under the name Sphenarium borrei. Its description in RNAcentral is "partial 12S ribosomal RNA". Lineage: Eukaryota; Metazoa; Arthropoda; Insecta; Orthoptera; Pyrgomorphidae. The record is from RNAcentral.